This 497-nucleotide ribosomal RNA is filed under the name uncultured bacterium. Its description in RNAcentral is "partial 16S ribosomal RNA". It matches the Rfam family "Bacterial small subunit ribosomal RNA", at positions 28 to 507 of the family's 1533-position model. The record is from RNAcentral.
GAUGAACGCUGGCGGCGUGCCUAAUACAUGCAAGUCGAGCGAACAGACGAGGAGCUUGCUCCUCUGACGUUAGCGGCGGACGGGUGAGAAACACGUGGAUAACCUACCUAUAUGUCUGGGAUAACUUCGGGAAACCGGCGCUAAUACCGGAUAAUAUCUUGAACCGCAUGGUUGAAUAGAGAAUGACGGUGUUUCUGUCUCUUAUAGAUGGUUCCGCGCCGCAUUAGCUAGUUGGUAAGGUAACGGCUUACCAAGGCAACUAGGCGUAUCCGACCUGUGGGGGUGAUCGGCCACACUGGAGCGGAGACACGGUCCAGGCUCCUACGAGAGGCAGCAGAAGGGUAUCGUCCGCAGUGGGGGAGAGCCUGGCGGAGCAGCGCCACGUGUGAUGUGAAGGUGUUCGGAUCGUAAUACUCUCUUAUUGGUGAAAAACCAAUUUGGAAGUAACUAUGCACGUCUUGACGGUACCGAGUAAGAAAGCCACGGCUAACUACGUG